ACAGGGACUCACACUUGUAAUCCCAGCACUUUGGGAGGCUGUGGUGGGAUUGCUUGAGGCCAAGAGCUUGAGGCCAGUCUGGGCAGCAUAGCAAGAUCCUGUCUCUACAAAAAUUUUUUUUAAUUAGCCUGGCAUAGUGGCACGCACCUGUAGUCCCAGCUACUCAGGAAGCUGAGGUGGAAGGAUUGCUUGAGCCCAGGAGUUUGAGGCUGCAGUGAACUAUAAUCCACUGCAUUCCAGCCUGAGCAACAGUGAUGAGAUAGUCAGAGGUAACCAGAUGUGUAUUAGGCUGACUCCUAGGAAGCUUUACGUUAGGUUGAUAAGAUGGCUACAAGCAUGGUAUCUCCACACCAUAUACCCAAGGAGGGAAGGAAAAGGGCAGACCUACUCCUUAAUUGUGUCUUUCUUUUUAGCAGGAAGGAAAAUCCUUUCCGGGGGUCCUGCAGCAGAUUGCCCCUUACAGAUAAUAGCCAGAACUAGGUCACGUGUUGAUAAGGUUUAGAUACUUGUUCCCUUCAAAUCUUUUGUUGACAUUGCAUCUCCAGUGUUCGAGGUGGGCGCUGGGAGGUGUUUGGGUCACGGGGUGGAUCCCUCAUGAACGGCUUGGUGUCCUCCCUGUGGUAAUGAAUGAGUUCUCACUCUACUAGUUCACACAAAAGCUGCUUGUUUAAAAAAGCCUGGCACUUCUUCCCCUCUCACCACGUGCCCUGUUGACUACCCUUGCCUUCUGCCUCGAGUAAAACUCCCUGAAGCCCUCACCAGAAGCAGAUGCUGGCACCAUAAUUCUUGUACAAGCUGCAGAGCCAUGAGCCAAAUAAACCUCUUCUCUAUAAAUUAUCCACCCUCAUGAACGGCUU
Molecule: long non-coding RNA, 857 nt
Filed under: Homo sapiens (human)
Lineage: Eukaryota; Metazoa; Chordata; Mammalia; Primates; Hominidae
Description: HSALNT0341482
Source: RNAcentral